UUAAUCCUGGCUCAGAUUGAACGCUGGCGGCAUGCCUAACACAUGCAAGUCGAACGGUAACAGGUCUUCGGAUGCUGACGAGUGGCGGACGGGUGAGUAAUGCGUAGGAAUCUGUCUUUUAGUGGGGGACAACCCAGGGAAACUUGGGCUAAUACCGCAUGAGCCCUGAGGGGGAAAGCGGGGGAUCUUCGGACCUCGCGCUAAGGGAGGAGCCUACGUCUGAUUAGCUAGUUGGUAGGGUAAAGGCCUACCAAGGCGACGAUCGGUAGCCGGUCUGAGAGGACGACCAGCCACACUGGGACUGAGACACGGCCCAGACUCCUACGGGAGGCAGCAGUGGGGAAUUUUUCGCAAUGGGGGCAACCCUGACGAAGCAAUGCCGCGUGGAUGAAGAAGGCCUUCGGGUUGUAAAGUCCUUUCGUGGAGGACGAAAAGGCAGGUGCUAACAUCAUUUGCUGUUGACGUGAAUCCAAGAAGAAGCACCGGCUAACUCCGUGCCAGCAGCCGCGGUAAUACGGGGGGUGCAAGCGUUAAUCGGAAUCACUGGGCGUAAAGGGUGCGUAGGCGGUACAUUAGGUCUGUCGUGAAAUCCCCCGGGCUCAACCUGGGAAUGGCGGUGGAAACCGGUGAACUAGAGUAUGGGAGAGGUUGGUGGAAUUCCAGGUGUAGCGUUGAAAUGCGUAGAGAUCUGGAGGAACAUCAGUGGCGAAGGCGGCCACCUGGCCAAUUACUGACGCUGAGGCACGAAAGCGUGGGGAGCAACAGGAUUAAUACCCUGGUAGUCCACGCCUAAACGAUGAAUACUAAUGUUGUGCCUUGCUACUGAGUGUCGUACUAACCCAUAGUAUCCGCCUGGUAGUCCGCC
This 865-nucleotide ribosomal RNA is filed under the name uncultured Gammaproteobacteria bacterium. RNAcentral's name for it is "bacterial SSU rRNA". It matches the Rfam family "Bacterial small subunit ribosomal RNA", at positions 13 to 886 of the family's 1533-position model. The record is from RNAcentral. Lineage: Bacteria; Pseudomonadati; Pseudomonadota; Gammaproteobacteria.